AUGGCUCAGGAUGAACGCUAGCUACAGGCUUAACACAUGCAAGUCGAGGGGCAGCAUUGGAGUAGCAAUACUCAGAUGGCGACCGGCGCACGGGUGAGUAACACGUAUCCAACCUGCCGCUUACUCGGGGAUAGCCUUUCGAAAGAAAGAUUAAUACCCGAUGGUAUAAAGAGUUCGCAUGUUCUCUUUAUUAAAGAAUUUCGGUAAGCGAUGGGGAUGCGUUCCAUUAGAUAGUUGGCGGGGUAACGGCCCACCAAGUCUACGAUGGAUAGGGGUUCUGAGAGGAAGGUCCCCCACAUUGGAACUGAGACACGGUCCAAACUCCUACGGGAGGCAGCAGUGAGGAAUAUUGGUCAAUGGACGAGAGUCUGAACCAGCCAAAAGUAGCGUGAAGGAUGACUGCCCUAUGGGUUGUAAACUUCUUUUAUAAGGGAAUAAAGUGAGGGACGUGUCCCUUUUUGUAUGUACCUUAUGAAUAAGGAUCGGCUAACUCCGUGCCAGCCGCCGC
This 508-nucleotide ribosomal RNA is filed under the name uncultured bacterium. Its description in RNAcentral is "bacterial SSU rRNA". It matches the Rfam family "Bacterial small subunit ribosomal RNA", at positions 19 to 518 of the family's 1533-position model. The record is from RNAcentral.